RNAcentral lists this ribosomal RNA (465 nucleotides) under Vreelandella stevensii. RNAcentral's name for it is "partial 16S ribosomal RNA". It matches the Rfam family "Bacterial small subunit ribosomal RNA", at positions 338 to 795 of the family's 1533-position model. The record is from RNAcentral. Lineage: Bacteria; Pseudomonadati; Pseudomonadota; Gammaproteobacteria; Oceanospirillales; Halomonadaceae.
CCUACGGGGGGCUGCCGUGGGGAAUAUUGGACAAUGGGGGCAACCCUGAUCCAGCCAUGCCGCGUGUGUGAAGAAGGCCCUCGGGUUGUAAAGCACUUUCAGUGAGGAAGAACGCCUGGUGGUUAAUACCCAUCAGGAAAGACAUCACUCACAGAAGAAGCACCGGCUAACUCCGUGCCAGCAGCCGCGGUAAUACGGAGGGUGCGAGCGUUAAUCGGAAUUACUGGGCGUAAAGCGCGCGUAGGUGGCUUGAUAAGCCGGUUGUGAAAGCCCCGGGCUCAACCUGGGAACGGCAUCCGGAACUGUCAAGCUAGAGUGCAGGAGAGGAAGGUAGAAUUCCCGGUGUAGCGGUGAAAUGCGUAGAGAUCGGGAGGAAUACCAGUGGCGAAGGCGGCCUUCUGGACUGACACUGACACUGAGGUGCGAAAGCGUGGGUAGCAAACAGGAUUAGAUACCCUGGUAGUC